UCCCCCUUAGUUCAGUCGGUAGAACGGCGGACUGUUAAUCCGUAUGUCGCUGGUUCAAGUCCAGCAGGGGGAGCCA
This 76-nucleotide transfer RNA is filed under the name Photobacterium sp. RNAcentral describes it as "tRNA-Asn". It matches the Rfam family "tRNA". From Rfam's summary of the family: Transfer RNA (tRNA) molecules are approximately 80 nucleotides in length. The record is from RNAcentral. RNAcentral also lists the same sequence under 59 other names. Lineage: Bacteria; Pseudomonadati; Pseudomonadota; Gammaproteobacteria; Vibrionales; Vibrionaceae.